Molecule: ribosomal RNA, 163 nt
Filed under: Vigna umbellata (rice bean)
Lineage: Eukaryota; Viridiplantae; Streptophyta; Magnoliopsida; Fabales; Fabaceae
Also listed under: 1 other name
Description: 5.8S ribosomal RNA
Rfam family: 5.8S ribosomal RNA
About the family: 5.8S ribosomal RNA (5.8S rRNA) is a component of the large subunit of the eukaryotic ribosome.
Source: RNAcentral
AAACGACUCUCGGCAACGGAUAUCUCGGCUCUUGCAUCGAUGAAGAACGUAGCGAAAUGCGAUACUUGGUGUGAAUUGCAGAAUCCCGUGAACCAUCGAGUCUUUGAACGCAAGUUGCGCCCGAAGCCACUAGGCCGAGGGCACGCCUGCCUGGGUGUCACAC